Molecule: ribosomal RNA, 520 nt
Filed under: Clathrodrillia walteri
Lineage: Eukaryota; Metazoa; Mollusca; Gastropoda; Neogastropoda; Drilliidae
Description: partial large subunit ribosomal RNA
Rfam family: Bacterial large subunit ribosomal RNA
Source: RNAcentral
GGCUCCUCGGUUUAACAAAAUGAGGAGUCGGACCUGCCCAGUGAAAUAUUUUUAACGGCCGCGGUACUCUGACCGUGCAAAGGUAGCAUAAUCAUUUGCCUUAUAAUUGAAGGCUGGUAUGAACGGUUUGACAAAAAUAUCGCUGUCUCUUUUUGGUUAACUAAAACUUUAUUUUAAGGUGAAGAAGCCUUAAUUAGAUUAAUAGACAAGAAGACCCUGUCGAGCUUAAAACAAAUUAAUAGGAGAAUAAUUAAUUAAUAAUCUUUAAAAAAAUUACUAUUAAAAAUUUUAGUUGGGGCGACUGAGGAACAAACAAAGCUUCCUUUCUUACUGACAUUAUAAUACCUAUAAGUAUUGAUCCAAAAUUUUUGAUUAAAAAAAUUAGUUACCGCAGGGAUAACAGCAUUAUCUUUUUUAAGAGUUCUAAUCGAAAAAAAGGUUUGUGACCUCGAUGUUGGACCAGAAUAUCCUAAAGAUGCAGAAGUCUUUAAGGGUUGGUCUGUUCGACCAUUAAAAUUCU